RNAcentral lists this non-coding RNA (109 nucleotides) under Heterosigma akashiwo. The record is from RNAcentral. Lineage: Eukaryota; Raphidophyceae; Chattonellales; Chattonellaceae.
UUUUUUUCUUUCUUUCUUUCUUUCCUUUUUUUAACCUGCUGCUGUUGAGAUGGAGAGGCUGCAAGAAAGAGGCCUGAAGAAGAAAAGCCUGGAGUGCUGGAAGUAAGGC